UACGUAGGGACCAAGCGUUGUUCGGAUUUACUGGGCGUAAAGGGCGUGUAGGCGGCAAUUCAAGUCAGUUGUGAAAUCUCCGAGCUUAACUCGGAACGGUCAACUGAUACUGUUUUGCUAGAGUACAGAAGGGGCAAUCGGAAUUCUUGGUGUAGCGGUGAAAUGCGUAGAUAUCAAGAGGAACACCUGAGGUGAAGGCGGGUUGCUGGGCUGACACUGACGCUGAGGCGCGAAAGCCAGGGGAGCAAAAGGG
This 253-nucleotide ribosomal RNA is filed under the name uncultured bacterium. Its description in RNAcentral is "partial 16S ribosomal RNA". It matches the Rfam family "Bacterial small subunit ribosomal RNA", at positions 524 to 776 of the family's 1533-position model. The record is from RNAcentral.